CCAAUAGCGUAUAUUAAAGUUGUUGCAGUUAAAAAGCUCGUAGUUGAACUUCGGGGUUUACUCAUUGGUCAGGCUUAAUUGUCUGCACUGGUGAGAUGAAUCUCUACCUUCUGAGGAACUUUCAUGCCAUUUAUUUGGUGUGAUUGGAAAUCAGGACUGUUACUUUGAAAAAAUUAGAGUGUUUAAAGCAGGCUAACGUCUGAAUACAUUAGCAUGGAAUAAUGAAAUAGGACGGACUGAUUCUAUUUCGUUGGUUUCUAGGAUCACCGUAAUGAUUAAUAGGGAUAGUUGGGGGCAUUAGUAUUCAAUUGUCAGAGGUGAAAUUCUUGGAUUUAUUGAAGACUAACUACUGCGAAAGCAUUUGCCAAGGAUGUUUUCAUUAAUCAAGAACGAAAGUUAGGGGAUCGAAGACGAUCAGAUACCGUCGUAGUCUUAACCAUAAACUAUGCCGACUAGGGAUCGGAUGAUGUUAAUUUUUUAAUGACUCAUUCGGCGCCUUACG
RNAcentral lists this ribosomal RNA (502 nucleotides) under uncultured Glomeromycotina. RNAcentral describes it as "partial small subunit ribosomal RNA". It matches the Rfam family "Eukaryotic small subunit ribosomal RNA", at positions 591 to 1092 of the family's 1831-position model. The record is from RNAcentral. Lineage: Eukaryota; Fungi; Glomeromycota.